AGCUUUGUGCAGUGGCAGAAUAGUAGCUGAUGAGGUUUAUCCAAGGCGCAAUUAUUGCUAAUUGAAAACUUUUCCCAAAACUAAGCAACCUGUGCAUUGUCCUUCCCAAGUCACAUGUGGCGAUGGAC
Molecule: small nuclear RNA, 128 nt
Filed under: Sorex araneus (European shrew)
Lineage: Eukaryota; Metazoa; Chordata; Mammalia; Eulipotyphla; Soricidae
Description: U4 spliceosomal RNA (ENSSARG00000014652.1)
Rfam family: U4 spliceosomal RNA
About the family: U4 small nuclear RNA (U4 snRNA) is a component of the major U2-dependent spliceosome. The structure of U4 snRNA from yeast and human has been reported.
Source: RNAcentral